CAAUGCCGCGUGCAGGAUGAAGGCCUUAGGGGUUGUAAACUGGUUUUGUACGGAACGAAACGGCUCUCUUUAAUACAGGGAGCUAAUGACGGUACCGUAAGAAUAAGCACCGGCUAACUACGUGCCAGCAGCCGCGGUAAUACGUAGGGUGCGAGCGUUAAUCGGAAUUACUGGGCGUAAAGCGUGCGCAGGCGGUUAUAUAAGACAGAUGUGAAAUCCCCGGGCUCAACCUGGGACCUGCAUUUGUGACUGUAUAGCUAGAGUACGGUAGAGGGGGAUGGAAUUCCGCGUGUAGCAGUGAAAUGCGUAGAUAUGCGGAGGAACACCGAUGGCGAAGGCAAUCCCCUGGACCUGUACUGACGCUCAUGCACGAAAGCGUGGGGAGCAAACAGGAUUAGAUACCCUGGUAGUCCACGCCCUAAACGAUGUCAACUGGUUGUUGGGUCUUCACUGACUCAGUAACGAAGCUAACGCGUGAAG
This 480-nucleotide ribosomal RNA is filed under the name beta proteobacterium Z28. RNAcentral's name for it is "bacterial SSU rRNA". It matches the Rfam family "Bacterial small subunit ribosomal RNA", at positions 392 to 864 of the family's 1533-position model. Lineage: Bacteria; Pseudomonadati; Pseudomonadota; Betaproteobacteria. The record is from RNAcentral.